GGUGGUAUAAUUUAAUUAAAAUAUUACCUUGCAAAGGUAAAAUUGCCAUGUAGCUUCCACUU
Molecule: transfer RNA, 62 nt
Filed under: Chthamalus malayensis
Lineage: Eukaryota; Metazoa; Arthropoda; Thecostraca; Balanomorpha; Chthamalidae
Description: tRNA-Cys
Source: RNAcentral